RNAcentral lists this ribosomal RNA (456 nucleotides) under uncultured bacterium. RNAcentral describes it as "bacterial SSU rRNA". It matches the Rfam family "Bacterial small subunit ribosomal RNA", at positions 339 to 786 of the family's 1533-position model. The record is from RNAcentral.
CUACGGAAGGCAGCAGUGGGGAAUAUUGCACAAUGGGCGAAAGCCUGAUGCAGCUAUGCCGCGUGUAUGAAGAAGGCCUUAGGGUUGUAAAGUACUUUCAUCGGGGAGGAAAAACAAAACUAAUAAUUUUAUUUCUUGACGUUACCCGAAAAAGAAGCACCGGCUAACUCCGUGCCAGCAGCCGCGGUAAUACGGAGGGUGCUAGCGUUAAUCAGAAUUACUGGGCGUAAAGAGCACGUAGGUGGUUUUUUUAAGUCAGAUGUGAAAUCCCUGGGCUUAACCUAGGAACUGCAUUUUGAAACUGAAAUACUAGAGUAUCGUAGAGGGAGGUAGAAUUCUAGGUGUAGCGGUGAAAUGCGUAGAUAUCUGGAGGAAUACCUGUGGCGAAAGCGGCCUCCUAAACGAAUACUGACACUGAGGUGCGAAAGCGUGGGGAGCAAACAGGGAUUAGAUACC